RNAcentral lists this long non-coding RNA (237 nucleotides) under Arabidopsis lyrata. RNAcentral's name for it is "long non-coding RNA (ALYR_LNC001221)". Lineage: Eukaryota; Viridiplantae; Streptophyta; Magnoliopsida; Brassicales; Brassicaceae. The record is from RNAcentral.
GCUUCGCUGAUAAGAAGAGCAUAGCCACAACCGGACCACUCUACUGUUCUGGUUCUAAAGCCAUGGGAGCUAAGCUUGCUCGUGCUGAAAACGGGAUCCAGAGCGUUAUGAGUUUCUCUUCGGUCAAAGCUCGAUCGGUCAGAGCUCAAGCCUCCUCUGGAGAUGCAGAAGAAGCUAUACCUCUGAGAUCUGAAGGCAAACGCUCUGGAACUGUUUUACCUUUUGUUGGUGUUGCUU